AUAACAUUUGGACCGUCGGUCUACUGAGCAAUAUCAUCUGCUGGGCGGAAGAUUUUUCCUAAGUCGU
This 67-nucleotide microRNA precursor is filed under the name Bombyx mori (domestic silkworm). RNAcentral's name for it is "mir-2774 microRNA precursor family". It matches the Rfam family "mir-2774 microRNA precursor family". Lineage: Eukaryota; Metazoa; Arthropoda; Insecta; Lepidoptera; Bombycidae. The record is from Rfam by way of RNAcentral.